AUAGCGUAUAUUAAAGUUGUUGCAGUUAAAAAGCUCGUAGUUGAACUUCAGACCUGGCUGGAUGGUCUGCCUAACGGUAUGUACUGUCCGGCUGGGCCUUACCUCUUGGUGAGCCGGCAUGCCCUUCACUGGGUGUGUCGGGGAACCAGGACUUUUACCUUGAGAAAAUUAGAGUGUUCAAAGCAGGCUUAUGCUCGAAUACAUUAGCAUGGAAUAAUAAAAUAGGACGUGCGGUUCUAUUUUGUUGGUUUCUAGAGUCGCCGUAAUGAUUAAUAGGGAUAGUUGGGGGCAUUGGUAUUGAGUCGCUAGAGGUGAAAUUCUUGGAUUGACUCAAGACCAACUAUUG
RNAcentral lists this ribosomal RNA (346 nucleotides) under uncultured eukaryote. RNAcentral's name for it is "SSU rRNA". It matches the Rfam family "Eukaryotic small subunit ribosomal RNA", at positions 594 to 945 of the family's 1831-position model. The record is from RNAcentral.